CCUCAUAUAAUUAAAAAUCCGCCGGACACUUCAGAAGCACAAACAGCACAUGAUACAGCGACACAGCUUUCCUAUGGUACUCUUCAAUUUCAGAACAUGAAGCAAUUUCAGCACAGAUUUUCCAACUUCAUUUGGGAUACUUCACAUAUGAGACUUCUACAUCUUGAAACCAUCUCCAACAGAUUC
This is a long non-coding RNA of Lutra lutra (Eurasian river otter), 186 nucleotides long. RefSeq lists it as uncharacterized. The record is from RefSeq and is a predicted model, not a curated record. NCBI's taxonomy places the organism in Eukaryota, Metazoa, Chordata, Mammalia, Carnivora, Mustelidae. The transcript has 3 exons.